CGCACUGUUUCCCCAGUGCUAGCCUACUGAGCCAAGCGUUGCUGGUAACGGCGAGGUUUGAAGCGCUCAGGACAAUGAAACGCUUCGUAAGAGAAGGAAGAACCGCGAGGUGAAACCAACGACUGCCAGCAUCAAAGCGGUCAGCGAG
Molecule: non-coding RNA, 148 nt
Organism: Candidatus Hamiltonella defensa 5AT (Acyrthosiphon pisum)
Lineage: Bacteria; Pseudomonadati; Pseudomonadota; Gammaproteobacteria; Enterobacterales; Enterobacteriaceae
Source: Rfam